CCAAGAGUGAGGAGCAGCACCUGCAUUUAGGGAAGUCCAGACACUCUCUCGUUUCUUUGCCUCAGAGUUGGGGUCAGCUCUUCUCUGCUCUUUUACAUUUGUAAUGGUGAUCCUCCUUUGCAUGUUUACUGCCCAACUGACCUGUCACUUGGAAAAAAUCCUUCCAUGGGGAACACUCUUUCGUGACACAGCACAUCCCCUUCCAAACACCCUGGGGACAUUCUGAUGGUUUUAAAACCAAACAUCUUGGAAAAGAGCAGUGCUCUCCCAACAAACAGCAGUACAGUCAGGCCUCAGAAGGCAAACAAGCAAGGCAGGAGCUUGUGGGAGGAGAUGGUAAUAAAUACAACAGUCAGCUUCUUAAUCACCAUCCCCAGUGCCUGAUAACCAUUACCUUGUUUCAGUGCAUAACAGUGACAGGACAGCCCUCCACAUUUGGAGGACUUUACCCAGCAAAAUCUCCUCAGGGAUGAACAAGCACUGAAGUGUAAACACACCCAAGAACUUUUAAAGGUUGGAAAAGGAAAAUCUCUUAUGCCGUGAGAGUCAUCAGGCAUGAGGCAGCCCGGGCACAGCAGCCUCCGGUCUGCAGCAGCUGCACUCAGCAAGCCCAAGAGUCAAGGCUUUUUUUGGGAGCAGGGGUGGACACAGUGAAAACCAGCCUGUCCUUACUCAGAACUCCUGCCUUCAGGGCACUCAAGCCAAAGCUGUCUUAAUGUGCUUUUAAAAGAAGGCAAAUGCAAACAAGGCAUCAUUUCCUUCAAAGCCCGGCACUUCUCCUCCGCUGAGACAUCUAGAGCUGCUAUCGUCAGCUUAAGGAGCAAUAACUUCACCAGGAGGCGAAGCCGGUUUAUGAGGGGGAGGAGGAAGAGUUAAACCAAACUCAUCAACCCACCCAGUGUCAUCAGCCAGCAGCUCUGAGCACACUCUCACCACGGGGAAGCGGCGGAGAGACACGACAUCCCAGCGGCACGUCCAAGAGAGGAUGUGCCCUAAAGGACGCAGCUGAUUCAUCAUCCCGCUCUGGAAUCUCGGGCAGUUUCAGCUGCAGAGGCCUGACCUGCUUGGCAGCCAGCCGGCCGGCAUCAGCUGCCUCCUGGAAAAGGGAAAGAACAAAUAAAAAGCUUUGAAACGACAAAGUGGGCAGAGGAAUGGGGAGGAGGGGAAAGGAGGGAGUGUGUGGUGGGGGGAAGAGGUGGCCUUGCAGGCUCUGGUUGAGUAAGAGGCUAAUUCCCCCCCACUCCCUGACCGCGACUCCAUCUAAUUACCCUGUUUCCUCUGAGCUGAUUGGAAAGUGGCCUUGUGUCUGGAAAAGGCAGUCCUGUCUUUCCGGGAUGAAACCUUCAUACUUGGGAAUACUAAGCAGAUUUAUUCUGACACCCGUUCUCUGGGGAAAGUCUGCAGCUUCUCAAAGACAGGUCAUGGGUACAGCAUCUUCAUGGUCACAACCCACUGAAGCGCACUCAUUAUCACCCAUCCCAGCUCAGGGCAUGUCCUCUGCCGGCACUGAGGAGAACUGUACCAGAGAAGAUGCAGGACCUGUGUCAGUGUACUUGAUCCCUGGAUUUCAUCACACAUGACUUCACUGCAACUGCUUUGCUUUACCCCUUGCUCAACAACAAAGAGGUACCUCGACUUCAGAACUUUGUAUCUGUGCCCAGACUUCAAGGCUGACAUAUCUCAACAUUGAGAAUAAAGUGAAAAUCUCCUUUA
Passer domesticus (house sparrow) is the source of this 1713-nucleotide long non-coding RNA. RefSeq lists it as uncharacterized. The record is from RefSeq and is a predicted model, not a curated record. The transcript is spliced from 3 exons. Lineage: Eukaryota; Metazoa; Chordata; Aves; Passeriformes; Passeridae.